AUUGAACGCUGGCGGCAGGCCUAACACAUGCAAGUCGAGCGGAUGAAGGGAGCUUGCUCCUGGAUUCAGCGGCGGACGGGUGAGUAAUGCCUAGGAAUCUGCCUUGUAGUGGGGGAUAACGUCCGGAAACGGGCGCUAAUACCGCAUACGUCCUGAGGGAGAAAGUGGGGGAUCUUCGGACCUCACGCUCUCAGAUGAGCCUAGGUCGGAUUAGCUAGUUGGUGGGGUAAAGGCCUACCAAGGCGACGAUCCGUAACUGGUCUGAGAGGAUGAUCAGUCACACUGGAACUGAGACACGGUCCAGACUCCUACGGGAGGCAGCAGUGGGGAAUAUUGGACAAUGGGCGAAAGCCUGAUCCAGCCAUGCCGCGUGUGUGAAGAAGGUCUUCGGAUUGUAAAGCACUUUAAGUUGGGAGGAAGGGCAGUAAGUUAAUACCUUGCUGUUUUGACGUUACCAACAGAAUAAGCACCGGCUAACUUCGUG
This 484-nucleotide ribosomal RNA is filed under the name uncultured bacterium. Its description in RNAcentral is "partial 16S ribosomal RNA". It matches the Rfam family "Bacterial small subunit ribosomal RNA", at positions 30 to 507 of the family's 1533-position model. The record is from RNAcentral.